Gallus gallus (chicken) is the source of this 5425-nucleotide long non-coding RNA. The record is from Ensembl. NCBI's taxonomy places the organism in Eukaryota, Metazoa, Chordata, Aves, Galliformes, Phasianidae.
CCCAUCUCCACAGAGUCACCACGAGCCGCCGUCUCCCCACGUCGAGGAACAGAGUUUAAAGGGAGAACUGCGGCGCUGGGGAAUGCUUUUGACCGCCGACCGGGGGGGUCAGCCCUGGGCCGGCUUUGGGGUCAGGGAAACCCGAGGAAAGCGGCCUCUUUGGGAGACGCGAUCCCCGCUUUCCCCUUUUGCUGUCGUCUUUCUGUCCCUCCCGUGGAAGCGGGACACUCCCGCACCCCGCGGAUGGCAACGGAGGGAAACGAUCCUCUCCGAACUCCGCCGCCCCGUUAGUCUGCUUUCGGCCGCGACUUUCGCCGAGAAACCCAAAAGCGCUGAGAGCAGCACACCGUCAGUCGAGCAAAAACUCCAGCGUUUCGGAGGAGCUCUCAAAAUACAGCCCUACCUCCGCCCGCCGCCGAAACCGGACCCGUUAGAAGAGGUAAACCAUUUAGCCGGGAAGAAAAUACCAAACAAAAGCAAGCAAACAAACACACAAACCACAACAAAAAUGAAAAUGAAUCACACUCUCUCUCUCUCUAUAUAUCUCGGUAGCCUGAAGCACCUCCGAACGGGACAGUGUGGGACGGAAUGCUCCGCUGGGGCCGAGAGGGGAAACUAUGGGGAUAACGCUGCUGAGUGCGGAGUCGGGGAGCGCAGGAGAGCGAUGCGGGAGCGCGGUGUGUUUCUGACAGAGUGCGGUGGUUUAUGGGGCUGGGAUCGUAGUGCGGAAAGAGGGAAAAAGGCAAGAAAAGAAGCAAGAAAAAAAAAAAAAAGAACCCAAGAAAAACAGAAGGAAAGAUGUAAGAUAAAAAGGACACCUUUAUUGCUGGCCCGGCUUGAGAUACGCAGCUCCGGGAGCGCCGCUGAAGCGCGCGGUGGCUGCGGGGUCCUUCGGGGAGGGGGUGCCCGUUUGAAACUCAACGCGGGACACGAAAAUAAAGGAGUGACGAUAACGAAAACGGUUCCUGAUCGAACUGUUCCGAUCCCGUUUUCAAACAGGCUGCGGUGUUUCAAAACGGGUCGGGAGCACACGAUAGUUCUGAAGGUGAAAGCUGUCCUUGGGAACAGGAGAGGGAAAGUAUCAGUCACACAGAGGAAGCUUCAUGGUUGAAGAAUUAGGAAAAACCUUGUAUGAAAAGCACACACAAAGAGGAGUGUUUUUGCUCUGUUUGUCUGCAGACCUUUGAACAUGAUGAAAGUCAGUUUCUCCGCUGGAUGGGAACAUAUCACCCAAAGCCAAGGACAUCGGAGUUCACAGAAUCAGAGAAUCACUGAAUAUCCUGAGACGGAAUGGACCCAAAAGGAUCAUCAAGUACAACUCCUGGCUCCACACAGGACCAAACAGAAUUCAAGCUGUGUUUCUAAGAAUGCUUUCCAAGUGUUUCUUGAAUUCCAGCAAGUAUGGUACCAUGGCCAAUGCCCUGGGAAGACUUUUCCAGGUAACACCUACCAAUCUGUUCCCAUCCUGUGUUUAUGCUCCCCCCUACAAAAUGCUCACCCUUAUUCUUACUGAAUUAAAUAUUUUUACAUGUUAUUUUUCAGUUUUAUAGCCAUCAUGAAGAAUUUAAUAUUAUUCUUUCACUAUUCUGUGGUCAGCUCAAACCAUAGUAACCUGCAUAUGUGACUGCAAAUGUGUAAGCAUGUUGCUUAUUUUAAUAUCCAGUAAUGGAAAUACUGACUAGUACCUGUCUGUGGACAGAUUGCUAUAGUGCCAUGCUUGGGACAGCCUCCCAUGUCUUUAGUGAUCACUUGCCCAAGUACACCACUCCAAACACCUUUUCAUGCACUCCAUAAGAGGUCCUACUAUGUUUUUUAUUUCCCACUCUUUCAGUACAGCAACUAUAUUUCCCAAAUGUCCUCUUUCAAUGGCUUUCCCGUUCCAUUCUGUGGUCUUCUUUUUGAUACCCAUGUGCUCUACUCACACCCGCACUGCCACAUUUAGAGUUGGAAGGGAUAUUUCCCUUUCAGAGACCAAACUGGCUGCAACCAUCACAACUCUGUUCUCAACAGCAUGAAGUAUGGCUCUUUUUGUACAAUGUUCUGGGAGUUGUGAGAAAAAUUCUGCUAUUGAGCCAUCCAAGUAGCACACGUCCUUUAAAACAAUGUCUACAAAGGUGCCAGGAUAUUUUCCAAAACUGUUUAUGAAGAUUUGAGGCCAUAUACCAUGUAUAAAUUCACUAAAAUCAAGAUAACUUAAUGAUUGCAUUAACUAAUGAUAUGAUAUGAUCUGUCUCUCAGAAACCACCCCAUUUUAGUACACCACCACCACAAGUAUGAACACCUUAUACUUGAACAUGACUACCAGUACUUCAACUAUUAACAACAGCUCAAAAAUACCCAAAUAUUUUGCUGCCUUCAUUUUGAGAAAAGGCUUUGGUGGGCUGCAAUUACAUUUCACCUACUCUGACUGCUUCUUCCAGGGCCUCACUCCUCACCACCCUCCAGUAGGGCUCUUGGCUGUUUUUUAAUGGAAUAGCCUGAACAAACAUACUGCUCUCAGUGUGACGAUGUGCUGCUGGUUACUAAGCAGCAUUUGCAAAGAGUGUUUACUGCUCAGACCCCCUCCCCCUUUUAUCACUUAGAUGUUAUCUGCACAACAGGCACAAUUGUAAGUAGAUGCUGACACUAUAAACAAGCACGCUUCAGAUUUAUGCUUCCACAUUAUACUUUUAACAUGCUACUUAUUUUGAGGGAACUAAAUAAAAUUAUGACGAUGAUUCUAGCUAAAAAUGCAUGGUGCACACUAUCCAAGAAAUCUAACAAAAACAUUAAAUAUGUCCCAGGAAAUCAAAUUUAUAGCACAGGAAAUGUUUAGUGACUUCAUUACUCAGAUUACCAGUUGGAUAUCAGUUACAUCAUCAGCAACCUCCAAUUUCCUGUUUUGCUUAUCAUAGAGUUACUGUUUUCUUUUUUUAAUGUUUGCACAGCCCGUGUGGCAACAGCUACAGUGAGAUCAGAUACAGGAAUUUUCUGUGAUGGAUUAAAGAUCAUGUUUAUUUUAUCAUUUUUGAAGAAAUAAUAAUAAUAAUGUUGGGAACUGAAUGUGUACAAAACAUAAAUAGGCUUCUAUUUUUUUUUUCCACUGGAAAAGAUAUGAUUUGUGGCAAUAUGUGCAUUAGUUCUUCGUAAAUAUUAUUGAUUUGUGUCCCGCUUCAGAAUUGUUCCUUCCUACUGACUAAGAAAUGAUACCAGACUUCUGGCAGUUGACAGUCACAUUAUAUACUUCUGGUCCUUACAGAAACUUGCGUUUCUUUGCUCUCUUUAUGUCUAUGAAUCAGCCACUCCUUGUGCUUGUAACUCUCCUAUUAAUCUUACAAGUUGCCUGGUCUUGUAAAAGCCUGACCCACAGUUUCAGACAAGUAUGAAUCUCUGUCAUGGCAAUACCAACUUCAUUCAAGGAAAAGUGUAUUUCUUUGUCAUUCCCAAUCAUUCUGUGAAACUCCAGAUUUUUCUUCUAACGCAGAGCUUCACACAUAAUUGACUGAUCUCCAGACUCCUCCCAAGCUCUAGCAUCUUUUUGGCCUCUCUGAAGGCCUGUGAGGUUCCUAAGUGAAAGCCUUGAGAUAUGGACCUGGAGAUCACCUGGCCAAAAUCACACAGAAAAUGGACUUGAUCUGGGGCUGGUAGAUAACUCAUAGCAUUAGGUUGGGCCUGUUUCUUUUCUAAAUUUUAACUUACUUUGGAGAAGCUCUCUUCCAAGUGACUAAAAUCACACUUACGAGGCCUCUGUAGCGAAGGAAAAAGAAAGGCAAAAUUUGUGAUCCAUAUACGGGUUAGUGGGUGAUAACAGUGUGGAGUUAUAAAAUAAUGCAUAUUCACCAAAGGUAUAUAUUCACCAACUGUGUGCCAGGGGGUUAAACACAUCUUCAGUUGUUAUUAUGGAUUAAAAAGUAGGUAAAAUAAAAUUUCUUGAUAACAUAGAAAAAAUGGAUUAAUGAAGAAAUAUACUUUAAUGAAUGGUAUUAGACUAUUUGUGAAAACAAACAAAAAAACAAUGCCACACAAAUCUUUAAGUCAGUUUCAUCAAUUGAUUGUCAAGUCUUUUUCAUACUGUCUUUUGCCUUUGGAAAAACACAGUGAGAUAGGCUGAGAUGUAACAACAGUAUUAAUGCACAAAAUAAAAGCAUCCUCGUGACAAUAUUAAGAAGUUAAAAAAAAAAAAAAAGCAGUAGAUUUACAAAUGCAAAAGCUUAUAGAAAAUUUCUCUUGUCCUCUAGCAAGCACCAGAACCUCCUGAUUGGAAAGUAACCAAUAGCCAAGAGACAUUCAAACUGAAAUAAUUAUUACUUGUGCAAGUAAUUAUUUCCAAACUGGCAAAAUUUGACUUCUUCUCUGCUUUAGCAGCUACCAUACAGUUUUUGAGGCUGUCUUCUACUUGUUCUCUUUGAAGAAAAAUGCAGUGGUAUUCAGAAUGUUUUCCUCUCUGAUCUAGCUGAAAUCGCACUCACAAGCCCUUGCUUACACGUAGAAUUUCCACAUUAAUUGGUUCUGGAAACCAGGCUGCCCUCUUGGAAUCUUAAACUUAGCAACUUUGAGCAAAAGUCUGAUUAAUAUCAGCAAAAAUCCUUCUCUUGCACCUCCUUUGUUUUCACAAAACAUAGACUUUCUGGUGGGCAUUUUUUAGGUAAGUGUGCUGCUUGAAUUAAUAGGUAAAAAUAGAGUCGUUGAAUCAUAGAAUUGUAGAAGCAUAGUACCACAGAAUCACAGAAUGGCUUGGAUUGGAGCCUUAAAGUCCACACCGCCCCAACCCCUGCCAUAGGCAGGGCUGCCCCCCACCAGCUCAGGCUGCCCAGGGCCCCAUCCAACCUGGCCUUGAGUGCCUCUAGGGAUGGUGCACCACAGCUUCUAGCUGCACUUUUGCCUAGUGUUCCAAAAAUGCUUUCACUGCCAUUGACAAAUAAUACGUUGCAUGAAAGAGGGAAGAGAAAUCACAUGCAUACUUUUAUGUCCAGUUCUUCCCAACUUCCCUCCCUCAACUUACUUCUCUACUCUGCUUAUGUGCAGGUUGUGGGUAGUUAUAUUAAUGCAAAUAAGAAAGAUGUUAGCCCCAGAUCAUCCUGAUGUCAUUAACAUGCAUGACAGAAAAUGGAUUACAAAUGAUCUACCCUGCAGAAUAAGGCUUUAUAUUUUUCUUUAUUUAUUUUUGUUAACUGGGCAACAGGGCAUUAAAGCCUUGUGAUGUAUUAACUUUUUGGCCUGGAACUGAUUUAAGGCUGCACAAGGAAGAGUUUUUGAUGCACCAUUUGUGGUAUGAGCAUAUUUUGACAUCAGCAAUUUUUAAGAUAUCUAUAAUACCACUGUGACUUCAACGUUUUAUUUGUCCAUGCUAACAAAUAUAGUACUCUAAAUACAUUAAAUUCUGUGUAUUUUAAAUAUGGAUAUAAAUAUAUUGCUUUAAACAAUACAUUGUUUAGAGUUAUGUGUU